CUACGGAGGGUGCAAGCGUUAAUCGGAAUUACUGGGCGUAAAGCGUACGUAGGCGGUUAUUUAAGUCAGAUGUGAACGCCCCGGGCUUAACUUGGGAACUGCAUUUGAAACUGGGUAACUAGAGUUUAGUAGAGGGGAGUGGAAUUUCAGGUGUAGCGGUGAAAUGCGUAGAGAUCUGAAGGAACACCAGUGGCGAAGGCGACUCCCUGGACUAAAACUGACGCUGAGGUACGAAAGCGUGGGUAGCAAACAGGAUUAGAAACCCCAGUAGUCC
Molecule: ribosomal RNA, 274 nt
Filed under: uncultured bacterium
Lineage: Bacteria
Description: partial 16S ribosomal RNA
Rfam family: Bacterial small subunit ribosomal RNA
Source: RNAcentral